CGCCCGGAAAAUGACUUCAUAGAAGCGGGGUUCCGGGAUAACGAGGAGAGGGGAGUAUCGAAACUUCGGCGGGUGCCCCUCCGUGGCCGCAGCCAUGUGACAGGUUCUACAAAUACGGGGGCGACCCCGGAACAGAAGGAA
Molecule: non-coding RNA, 141 nt
Filed under: uncultured Dysosmobacter sp.
Lineage: Bacteria; Bacillati; Bacillota; Clostridia; Eubacteriales; Oscillospiraceae
Description: glmS glucosamine-6-phosphate activated ribozyme
Rfam family: glmS glucosamine-6-phosphate activated ribozyme aptamer
About the family: This entry contains a glucosamine-6-phosphate activated ribozyme that is found in the mRNA for GlmS. GlmS is an enzyme that uses fructose-6-phosphate and glutamine to generate glucosamine-6-phosphate. The ribozyme catalyses self cleavage of the glmS mRNA that is thought to regulate GlmS activity.
Source: RNAcentral